RNAcentral lists this transfer RNA (72 nucleotides) under Modestobacter marinus. Its description in RNAcentral is "Modestobacter sp. 42H12-1 tRNA". It matches the Rfam family "tRNA". Rfam says of the family: Transfer RNA (tRNA) molecules are approximately 80 nucleotides in length. The record is from Rfam by way of RNAcentral. Lineage: Bacteria; Bacillati; Actinomycetota; Actinomycetes; Geodermatophilales; Geodermatophilaceae. RNAcentral also lists the same sequence under 1 other name.
GCCCCAUUAGCUCAGUGGUAGAGCACUCGCCUUGUAAGCGAAAGGUCGUCCGUUCGAUCCGGACAUGGGGCU